Molecule: unclassified non-coding RNA, 240 nt
Filed under: uncultured fungus
Lineage: Eukaryota; Fungi
Description: partial contains 5.8S ribosomal RNA, internal transcribed spacer 2, and large subunit ribosomal RNA
Source: RNAcentral
AACGCACAUUGCGCCCCUUGGUAUUCCGGGGGGCAUGCCCGUUCGAGCGUCAUUACACCACUCAAGCCUGGCUUGGCCUUGGGCGGCGGGGUCGUCCCCGCGCCCCCAUGUUCGUCGGCUGGACGGUCGGAAUCUCAGCGUUGUGAAUCAACCCGCUCAUGAGGACGACCGGACCGCGCCGUAAAACCCCCUCUUCUUCAGGUUGACCUCGGAUCGGGUAGGGAUACCCGCUGAACUUAA